This 497-nucleotide ribosomal RNA is filed under the name uncultured bacterium. Its description in RNAcentral is "partial 16S ribosomal RNA". It matches the Rfam family "Bacterial small subunit ribosomal RNA", at positions 28 to 507 of the family's 1533-position model. The record is from RNAcentral.
GAUGAACGCUGGCGGCGUGCCUAAUACAUGCAAGUCGAGCGAACAGAUAAGGAGCUUGCUCCUUUGACGUUAGCGGCGGACGGGUGAGUAACACGUGGGUAACCUACCUAUAAGACUGGAAUAACUCCGGGAAACCGGGGCUAAUGCCGGAUAACAUUUAGAACCGCAUGGUUCUAAAGUGAAAGAUGGUUUUGCUAUCACUUAUAGAUGGACCCGCGCCGUAUUAGCUAGUUGGUAAGGUAACGGCUUACCAAGGCAACGAUACGUAGCCGACCUGAGAGGGUGAUCGGCCACACUGGAACUGAGACACGGUCCAGACUCCUACGGGAGGCAGCAGUAGGGAAUCUUCCGCAAUGGGCGAAAGCCUGACGGAGCAACGCCGCGUGAGUGAUGAAGGUCUUCGGAUCGUAAAACUCUGUUAUUAGGGAAGAACAAAUGUGUAAGUAGCUGUGCACGUCUUGACGGUACCUAAUCAGAAAGCCACGGCUAACUACGUG